UUCACACAGGGAACUUAGAGUUUGAUCAUGGCUCAGAGCGAACGUUAGCGGCGGGCCUAACACAUGCAAGUCGAACGAGAAUGUAGGCUUCGGUCUACUAGUAAAGUGGCGGACGGGUGCGUAACACGUGGGUAAUCUACCUUCCGGCGGGGGACAACAGUCCGAAAGGAUUGCUAAUACCGCAUACGUCAGCGGCGCCUACGGGCGCUGUUGGGAAAGAUAGCCUCUCCUUGGAAGCUGUCACCGGAAGAUGAGCCCGCGCCCCAUCAGCUAGUUGGUGAGGUAAUGGCUCACCAAGGCUUAGACGGGUAGCUGGUCUGAGAGGAUGAUCAGCCACACUGGGACUGCGACACGGCCCAGACUCCUACGGGAGGCAGCAGUGGGGAAUAUUGGGCAAUGGGCGCAAGCCUGACCCAGCCACGCCGCGUGAGUGAUGAAGGCCUUCGGGUCGUAAAGCUCUGUGGGGAGGGACGAACAAGCCCGGUAUUAAUACCACCGGGCCCUGACGGUACCUCCUUAGCAAGCACCGGCUAACCCUGUGCCAGCAGCCGCGGUAACGCC
This 561-nucleotide ribosomal RNA is filed under the name uncultured bacterium. RNAcentral's name for it is "bacterial SSU rRNA". It matches the Rfam family "Bacterial small subunit ribosomal RNA", at positions 1 to 527 of the family's 1533-position model. The record is from RNAcentral.